This 3500-nucleotide long non-coding RNA is filed under the name Homo sapiens (human). RNAcentral's name for it is "HSALNT0076462". Lineage: Eukaryota; Metazoa; Chordata; Mammalia; Primates; Hominidae. The record is from RNAcentral.
UCAGAAUCUGGUAGAGCUCCUGGAGCAACCUGCAUGAUGUCACUGCUAUAGCACUAUGAUUUUCAUAUUACAUACUCUUGAGACACUUUCCAGAGUAUAUAUGGCUAUGUUAUAGCAUGCUUUGAGAACUAGAUUAAGUAAUUCCUGCAAGGCAAACCAAGUGAUGAUGAGCUCUCUCAGCUUCUGUUUGUCUGAUAAACUUUCUAUUCUCUCUCACUUCUGAAGGAAAGCUUUGCCAGGUGAAUAACAACAUCAAGAAGAAAAUGGAAGCUAUCAGAAAAGCCUCUACCAUCCCCACCACAUCUACCUGUCUACCUGUGUGUGUUCCUAAACUCCAGCUUCUCUCAUGAAAGAACUCUCCAUGCAUCUGGCUUAAGGUCAUCCCAUCCCUGAUCUCCACUUAAGGUUCAUGGCUGGAGGGAGCUUGCCUUGAGACUCAAAUGAGAUUUUGAACUUUAAACGAUCGAGUUGUUGCUGAAACAGGUUUCUAUUCGUCAUCAAAAGACCUUCAGGCAAUUAAUAAGAGACAUGAAUGAGAAUGAAAGUGAUGAUAUAAAGCAUGUUAAUAAGUGUAUAAAGGAAACAUGACUCACUGAGAAAAGUAAAUACAGCUCCAUUGACUAAAUUCUAGUGGUAAAACUAACUGAUAAUGAUAAAAGAAGCCCAGAGUCAUAUAACAACAUUUAUUAGGGAAACUGCACAUUCAACUAGUGAUAACAAAAGCAAAAUAUUAACAGAAAAUAUGGGCAAGGAUUAUGGUUUCUGAAUGUUGGAAUUAGAAAAGCUAAAAUGUCCCAUGCAAAACAUUUAUUUCAAAUUAAAAUGUUCUUUAAUAACAAACUAGUUUGCAUUUCAAACAAUUACUGAUAAAGAUUUCUGCAUUAAUAGGCCCUAUAACUCAUUAUAUGAAUUGAUAAAUAUAGUUACACAGUCAAAUAGGAAAAGUUUGUCAUUUUUCCUAUUUUUUAUGCCCUCUAUUUGUUCACAUCAAUGAAUAUAAAGAAAAAUGUAAUGUGUUAAUUUUCUUUCAGACAGGGUGUUACUCUGCCAUCCAGGCUGGAGUGCAGUGGCAUGAUUACAGUUCACUGCAGCCUCAACCUCCUGGGCUCAAAUGAUCCUCCCUUCUCAGCCGCCUGAGUAGCUAUGACUACAGGCAUGCACCACCAUGCCCAGCUAAUUAAAAAAAUUUAUGUAUAUAUAAAUCAUGUCUUAUUAUGUUGCUUGGGUUGGUCUCAAACCUCUGGACUCAAGCAAUGCUCCUGUCUCAGCCUCCCAAAGUGCCAGGAUUACAGGUAUGAGCCACCACACCCAGCCUAAUAUGUUAAAUUAUUCUGAAUUUUAACUCUUAUCACCAACGUGUAAAACAAUAAAAAUGUACAUUUACUUUAAUCGAACAUUACAAAAAACUAAUAUUUAUGUCUAUAUCUUGAUCUAUAUAUUAAACAAGUUAGUAUGAAAGUUAUCAAAAUCACAGUAGUAACAAAUUACUAAAGUACAUAAGCAGACAAUAGUCUCAUGAAGAAGUAUAAUUAGUAAACAAACAGGAAAAAUAUUUUUAACUUUGUGAUAUCCAAAAACUAAAGUAAAAAUAAGACUUUAACUUUGCUUAUAAAAUCAGCAAAAUUAAUUUAAACUUCUAGAGUAGUAAAACUCUAUGCUUUACAGGUAGACAAGGAGGAACAUUGGUUUUGGUGUUUGACAAAACAUUUUGGAUUUGAAUCCGAGAUCUCUCAAUUGCUAUGUGAUUUAAAAUAAAUUCUUAAUAUGCCUGAGCCUCUUAUUUUUUUCCUUUGUGCAAACCUGGGGAUAACAGUAUUUUUCUUUUGGGAUUGUAAAGAGGUGAAUAAAAUAAGGAUUAUUUAUGUUUUUUCUCCAUAAUCAUUACCAGUAUCUGACAUAUAGUUGACACUUGAUAUUUGUUAAACUAAUAAAUUUUUAAAAUGUAAUGUGUUGUUUGUUUCUUUGUUUGUUUUGAGAUAGGGUCUCACUAUGUCUUCUAGGCUGGUGCACAGUGGUGCUAUUAUGGUUCACUGCAGACUCAACCUUCUUCUAAAGAUUGAUGUCUGUGGCUACCAAGAUUCGUAUGUUGAAACCUACUCACCAAUGUGUUGGUAUUAAGAGGUGAAGCCACUGGGUGGUGAUUGGGUCAUUAGAGCAGAGCCCUAAUAAAUUAGAUUAUUGCCCUCCUGAAAGAGAACAUAGUGAGCUGCCUUGCCCCUUUUACCAUUGGAGGGUGCAGAGAGAAGGCACCAUCGAUCAACCAGUAAUUGAGCCCUUACCAGACACAGAUCUGCUGGUACCAUGAUCUUGGACUUUCCAGCCACCAGAACUGUGAGAAAUAAAUUUCUGUUGUUUGCAAGCCUCCUAGUUUAUUGUUGUCAUAAAUUUAUUUAAUAUAGUUGCUGCCUUGGCAUCAAUUUAUAGACCUGACAUAAGUUGCUUGAAACUUAGUUGUACCACAUCACCUUUGGCCUAGUUAAAACUUACCCUCCCAAUGUGGUUGUUUAAGAUACGCCUUCCUGGGCCGAGCGUGGUGGCUCACGCCUAUAAUCUCACCCAAGGCCGAGGUCAGGAGAUUGAGACCAUCCUGGCUAACAUGGUGAAACCCCAUCUCUACUAAAAACACACAAAAAAACAAAAAAUUAGCUGGGCAUGCUGGCGCGCACCUGUAGUCCUAGCUACUCGGGAGGCUGAGGCAGGAGAGUUGCUUGAACCUGGGAGGUGGAGGUUGCAGUGAGCUGAGAUCACACCACUGCACUCCAGCCAGGGAGACAGAGCAAGACUCUAUCUCAAAAAAAAAAAAAAAAAAAAAAAAGAUAUGCCUUUCUUAAUUUAUCAUCUCACUGAUCCAAAACCCAACACAUUCCACAGCUGCUGACAAUGGUAAAACCUAAUGGUCAAUACCAGAGUCAUGCAAACAAAUUAUCCUAGAAUGUGUUUUCCUUAAAUUGGCCAAUCCAUAACCCCAUUGGAAAACCUAAGAAAUAAUAUAUAAGAACCUUAAUAAAGGCGUAGCCCUGCAGGUUCUCUCUCUCUCUCUCUGUCUUUUCCCCUUUCUCUUUCUCUCUUUCUCUCUCCCUCUGUUCACCUGCUGGUUAAGUUUCUCUCACCUCCAGAUUUCCCACCAGCCCCUAUUUGUACCCCUAACCUCUCUUAGACUUGAGAAUAAUACAUUUCUUCCAUUAUAUGCAUUUUGGUUUCACUCCCUCAUUGUGUCUUACCUAACAGACCCACCGACCGUAACUCUCUACCCCAUCAGUGCUCUCUUAGAGGGUAGAUAUCUGGCUUAUGGUCACUCUCCAGAGAGACCUUAAGAUCAAAUUAGGCUCCCUCUCCCUCUCCCUCUCCCUCUCCCUCUCCCUCGCCCUCGCCCUCGCCCUCUCCCUGUCCCUCUCUUUCCAAGGUCUCCCUCUGAUGCCGAGCCGAAGCUGGACUGUGCUGCUGCCAUCUCGGCUCACUGCAACCUCCCUGCCUGAUUCUCCCGCCUCAGCCUGCCGAGU